Long non-coding RNA from Xenia sp. Carnegie-2017, 827 nucleotides. RefSeq lists it as uncharacterized. The transcript has 4 exons. NCBI's taxonomy places the organism in Eukaryota, Metazoa, Cnidaria, Anthozoa, Malacalcyonacea, Xeniidae. The record is from RefSeq and is a predicted model, not a curated record.
AAAUAUAUGGGUCAUGUAACUAUAAAACAUUUCCAAAUCAUGAACAAGUUUUAUUUAAAUAGUAUUAAAUAUGCAAUCUUAUUUGAACUAUUUUCAUUAAAUCUACUUCAUUUACUAGCCAUGCACUUGAUAGGCUACCCACAUGUACGCAUUCGUACCUAUUUUUACCGUCCAGCCUACGUGAUGCAAACCUCGACUGAAAUAAAUCAUACAAAGCUGUUUCUCGAUGUUUGCUACCAAUAUUUUUCGCUACAGUAAGCAAAUAUGGGGUAAGGUUGAUUGGUCGGUGUAUCUUCAAGUGUUGUCGAUUUCUGGUCUCGGUGUAUCCACCUGCCUACCUUAUAAGCUAUGUACUAGGCAGUUGUUUGGUUUUUUUGGUGUUUGUUUGAGUUAGUCCUUAGUUGUUUCGUACCAUUGUAGCCGCUUUUAAACAUGCUGACGGUAAGAAGAUUGACGGCAGGCGUAUAGUAGUUGAUGUGGAAAGAGGAAGAACAGUGAAGAACUGGAAACCUCGACGUUUAGGUGGAGGGCUAGGUGGCACACGAAAUGGUGCUCCUGAAGCAAACAUAAAGCAUUCUGGCCGCGUCGAAAAUUUUGACAGGGAUCGCGAUUGAGAUGAACGUGAUCGUGGUGGUGAAUAUCGUGACCGUUCAAGGCGUGAUCGUGAACGAGACCGUUGCCGUGAUAGAGAUCGCGAUAGACAUGAUCGUCGCCGAGAAAGGGAUCGUAAGUUACAUUUUUCUAAGCUGCUGUUGGAGAAGGAUAGAAAAUAACUUAUCAGAAUUCGAAGGAGAAAUUUCAUUGAUAGCCAAAUUUCCUCUUCAAUG